UACGAAGGGGGCUAGCGUUGUUCGGAUUUACUGGGCGUAAAGCGCACGUAGGCGGAUCGUUAAGUCGGGGGUGAAAUCCUGGAGCUCAACUCCAGAACUGCCUUCGAUACUGGCGAUCUUGAGUCCGGAAGAGGUGAGUGGAACUCCUGGUGUAGCGGUGAAAUGCGCAGAUAUCAGGAGGAACACCAAUGGCGAAGGCAGCUCGCUGGGACGGUACUGACGCUGAGACGCGAAAGCGUGGGGAGCAAACAGG
Molecule: ribosomal RNA, 253 nt
Filed under: uncultured bacterium
Lineage: Bacteria
Description: partial 16S ribosomal RNA
Rfam family: Bacterial small subunit ribosomal RNA
Source: RNAcentral